RNAcentral lists this ribosomal RNA (279 nucleotides) under uncultured bacterium. RNAcentral's name for it is "partial 16S ribosomal RNA". It matches the Rfam family "Bacterial small subunit ribosomal RNA", at positions 28 to 308 of the family's 1533-position model. The record is from RNAcentral.
GACGAACGCUAGCGGCAGGCCUAAUACAUGCAAGUCAAGGGGGCCCCGAGCAAUCGGGGGCACCGGCGGACGGGUGCGUAACGCGUACACAACGUGCCCAAGGGUGGGGGAAAGCGGCGGGAAACUGCCGGUAAUACCCCAUGGUGUUGGAGGGUGGGCAUCACUUUUCUAACUAAAGUACAAGCGCCCUUGGAUCGGUGUGCGUCCGAUUAGCUAGUUGGCGGGGUAACGGCCCACCCAAGGCUCCGAUCGGUAGGGGGUGGUGAGAGCAUGGCCCCC